GUCACCCGCUUGCGCCUUGCAGAUGUAAAGUUUUCCGUCAGACACAGUGGCGGUGAUCAGUUGAUGCUUACCACCCUCGUCUCCAUCGGCCGUCCUCGUUAACACAGACAACGAGUAGUAUGGUUUUCCUCCGAUCACCGGAGUUGCAACCUCCAAUAUAUUUGCUGUUGCAACUGCAUCUUGUUCAAAUCCUCCCUAAACAUACACACAUCAUCAAAAGCCAAGUUUCAUUUCACACAUAUAAAUUAAUGAAGGUGAAGGUGGUUACCUCAGAUGCGGUUUUCCCGAAGUAAGCUUGUUUCCCAAGC
Molecule: long non-coding RNA, 308 nt
Filed under: Lactuca sativa (garden lettuce)
Lineage: Eukaryota; Viridiplantae; Streptophyta; Magnoliopsida; Asterales; Asteraceae
Description: long non-coding RNA (LSAT_LNC002246)
Source: RNAcentral